RNAcentral lists this long non-coding RNA (1061 nucleotides) under Aotus nancymaae (Ma's night monkey). RNAcentral describes it as "lncRNA (ENSANAG00000039502.1)". Lineage: Eukaryota; Metazoa; Chordata; Mammalia; Primates; Aotidae. The record is from RNAcentral.
UACACAUUCUGCCUGCCUGUGCCCCCGCAAAGGAAAGAGCUCCUUCCACAGCUGUUUGUUCUGGCAGCCCCGAACACCAUAGCAGCCUGAAGCACCACAGCCCAGAAGCUAAGCAGGGUCCAGAGACUCCACAGGUGGUCGCCAAAGGCGACGCUGCUCUAAGUUUUAGGCAAUUGGGAAAAGAAGGCCAUAUCCCUAAAGUUAUCCCAGCGUCGGAUCCGCCACGCUGUUUCCUCAGCCCCAAGGGACGGUUCCGCCUGCAAUCGUUUUCCAACUCCCGGCCAGCUUAAGCUUCAUCCUCGCCUGCACCCCACCUCCAUCCCUUUCCCGGCCACCCGUGAAACGCCUUGAGGAAGCCAUUUUAAACAGUGCUAUCGCGAGAUACACUUCGCAGUUUCCAGUCUGAUUCAUUUACUUUCUUGCGAGAGUCUCUUCUCGUCUGCUCUCGCUGUAGCCAAGGAAAGUGUCGCGAGAGCUGGUUGCCUUGGCUCCCUGUAGCUAUAGCAGCCGCGGCGGUUAAGUAUGCGGUGGCUGGAGCGGUACUGGGAGAUCCCUAGGGAGGACACCGGAACCUUCAGAGGCUGGAAAACGGGUGAUGCAUCCUCAGCAACUCUUCUGUAUUUUUCCUCGUGCUGGUGUUUUUUUACACAACUGUCUGGGGAUGACCCAAGAUGCUCACAGUGGCCCUGUCUCUUGGAGUGUCUGGUGAGUAUCAGCUCUCUCCCAGUAGAGAGCCUGUAGUUGGUGGAGCAUCUUAGGGAAACAGCUAGAUGCCCUUUUGCUGAGAGCAGUUUCCUGAUAUACAUUUUCUCUAAAAAGCUAACUGUUUUGAAUAUUAAGAUUUUUUUUUCUCUCAGUCCCAGCUCCUUUCCUGGCCAAGACACACGUUGGUGCUGGUGCUAAAGGAGAAAAGGCACACAUGCAUCUUGUCCUCUGGUUUCUCUCAGGCUUGUGAAGGGAAAAUAACUAUCCCAAAGUGCAAGAAAAAUCCACCUUAAUGAGGUAGUGUCUGAACUUACAAGAGGAAAAUACACAUCAGGUACACAGGAGGCAAAGCACGC